AUUGAACGCUGGCGGCAGGCUUAACACAUGCAAGUCGAACGGUAACAUAAAGGAGCUUGCUUCUUUGAUGACGAGUGGCGGACGGGUGAGUAAUGCUUGGGAAUCUAGCUUAUGGAGGGGGAUAACUACGGGAAACUGUAGCUAAUACCGCGUAGAAUCGGGAGAUGAAAGUGUGGGACCUUCGGGCCACAUGCCAUAGGAUGAGCCCAAGUGGGAUUAGGUAGUUGGUGAGGUAAAGGCUCACCAAGCCGACGAUCUCUAGCUGGUCUGAGAGGAUGACCAGCCACACUGGGACUGAGACACGGCCCAGACUCCUACGGGAGGCAGCAGUGGGGAAUAUUGCGCGAUGGGGGCAACCCUGACGCAGCCAUGCCGCGUGAAUGAAGAAGGCCUUCGGGUUGUAAAGUUCUUUCGGUAGCGAGGAAGGCAUUUAGUUUAAUAGACUAGGUGAUUGACGUUAACUACAGAAGAAGCACCGGCUAACUCCGUG
RNAcentral lists this ribosomal RNA (490 nucleotides) under uncultured bacterium. RNAcentral's name for it is "partial 16S ribosomal RNA". It matches the Rfam family "Bacterial small subunit ribosomal RNA", at positions 30 to 507 of the family's 1533-position model. The record is from RNAcentral.